AUGGCCGCUUCCUCAGGUACGGCAGUUAGAGUCCCUUGGUUCACUGCUUUCCGGUGCGUAACCCUAUCAAUGCUGAAAAGGUAUUCGUGGUUCUACAAACACGUCCUGUGGUGUGUGUAUGUGCUUCACUGAAGGUCUGUGUUGGAGACGCCGAGUAGGCACCAGUCUCGCUCACGUUAACCGGAAGGCACGUAGAGGUAAAAUUUAAACUAGGGGCUGCCUCUUCCCGUGUGUGCAGCUCGCGGCAAUUGGGGGCAAUGUGUGUUGUACUCGGUAUUGCUAUGCGAAUGCAAAACCAUGACUAAUGUUUUGUUACCUCUUUAGGAAGAUUUGCCACUGCUGCUUUGCCUACUGUAAUUUUAGUUUAGCUUUUGCCUUGCGAGGUUUUUAGGUAAGUCACCAGGUGGCGUAGUCGAGUACCCUAGAGCCAAGACCUUUGACUGUUACCACUACCUGGUCACGUAAUCAAUAUAAAACAUUCUUCACAUAACCCUGGAUGAUAUUAGAGGUCAUACUGUGCUACACUCUGACAAAAUAUGAAGCAAUAUAUCUUUAGAAAUGACUAUUUACUAUGUGUCAAAUAUUGCAUAGCAUGCUAUGUUUGUAAAGGUAUGUCAGGUUCUCCUGACCCUCUCUGACUGUGUGUGUGUGUGUGAGAUAGUCUAUAUGCUGCGAAACCAUACCUACCCAUGCAUUGUCCUUUUCUCCCUGAUGCUGAUGUCCACCGAGGUGCACAAGAGUACAUCCACAACAUGCAGACAUUCGACUGCAUUAUGGGUGAGAUGAAGCACCACUUCCCGGGCUAGAUUGAGAUCAUUGGACCAUACAGUUCAACCAGUUCGUGCACCACCAAACAGGGGGCAGUGAAGCAGCAUUUGGCCUAGUGUUCAUCUUUCUGACUGUUUUAUUUGUUCUGGCCUCAAAGAGCUAAGUAAAAGAAUACUUCCCACAUUUUGGACAGUGUGAUUACAGA
Long non-coding RNA from Megalops cyprinoides (Indo-Pacific tarpon), 973 nucleotides. RefSeq lists it as uncharacterized. The transcript is spliced from 3 exons. NCBI's taxonomy places the organism in Eukaryota, Metazoa, Chordata, Actinopteri, Elopiformes, Megalopidae. The record is from RefSeq and is a predicted model, not a curated record.